This is a long non-coding RNA of Dicentrarchus labrax (European seabass), 1046 nucleotides long. RefSeq lists it as uncharacterized. The record is from RefSeq and is a predicted model, not a curated record. The transcript has 2 exons. Lineage: Eukaryota; Metazoa; Chordata; Actinopteri; Moronidae.
CCUGGCAAUACUGGGAAGUGUGUUUGUAUUUUGUGUGUGUGUGGUUCACGUACAAGAGAGUACGUGUGAAUGUACGUGUGCUUACGUACGCGCCUCCAUCUGUUUGUAUACACAUGGUAAUCUGAAUCAACCGCGAAACUUGAGCGGGCGUUUAAUUAUUCAAGGUGCUUUGGCUGAAAACUCGAUCACCUGGAGGAUCCGUUCUACCGCCACGAGUGCUCCCGCUUGCUGUUGCCCUGUGACAGAGGGGAGGAGGGACAGAAAAGGAGACCACUGGGAAGGAAAGAAGAUACCACACUUGCUCUCUGUGACAAUAUCCCAGCGGCACUGAGAACAUUUACAGUUAUUAUGAGCCAAUAUCCUACAAUAUGAUGUACUAUUAUUUAAUGAUUUCAUUGAAACAAUGUGUAUGACACAAUGAUGUAGUGCUCAUAAGAGACAUAUUCUAAAACCAUGUUACAUUGUUUGCUGGCAAUAAACUAAACCGCAUGUGGUUGAAUGGGCCCCUCAGCUCCCAUAUAAACCCCUGAGGCAGCAACACAAACAUCGGUGAGCCUAUGAUUAUGUGGCCAGCUAAAUGAAUAUUCACACUCAGCAGACUGACUGUGAGGCUGAGAUAGCAGCUGGGGCCCGGGGCCUGGGGCCCAGACACUCUGCAACUGCUCCUUGGAACAGCCACUAUUCAUCUGGAUAAGGAGAUGGCCACUACAGCCAAGCUCCCCAACUGUUGCCAGAACAGGACUGGACAGGCCACGCCAAAAAGCAUGGGAGGACCAGACAGAGAUUGGUUAGACAUUUUGGCUGAAAGAAUGAUGAAACAAGAAGAAAUGAUCAUAAAAUAGAAAAAUGAAAGGUGACUGGAUAACUGGAUGACUCCACCUUGUCUUAACUAUUUCCUGCUAGUAUUCUCCAAUAUGACGGCGUGUUUUGAUCAAGCAGCAGCAGCCACAGAAUGGUUGGAUGUUUAUCAAAGUGAUGCAUAAUGGCAUGUAAAAUUGUCACCUAAAUCAAUAAAUUCAAUAAAGAUCAAACUAUGAAAUUUGAAA